RNAcentral lists this long non-coding RNA (1040 nucleotides) under Lactuca sativa (garden lettuce). RNAcentral describes it as "long non-coding RNA (LSAT_LNC000859)". The record is from RNAcentral. Lineage: Eukaryota; Viridiplantae; Streptophyta; Magnoliopsida; Asterales; Asteraceae.
AUCUGCGUCAGCCUUUAGCUUAUUACCGACGACUAUUAUCAAUAGCGGCGACAAUCUGGAGGGAAGGGUACCCGGUCAUUUUUUAGUGCAUCAUUAGCGGCGACAAUUUCGAGCUUUAGCGGCGACACAUAUAUCGCCGGUAUUAGGUUAGUUGGGAUAAGGUUACCCUAACCGUUGGAUUAGAUAUUUGAUCGAACGGUGUAGAUGUAACGGAAGGGGAAAACGCGGAUUCGGGUGAUCACCCUUUAGCGGUGACGCUAUUACCGGCGACAGGGACCUUUAGCGACGACUCUAUCUAGAAAAGUGAUUUUCUUGUAGUGAAUUACUCUGUUUUUCUUCUUCUUUGUAGGAUGCUAGAGAGUGUGAGAGGGGAUUAAUCGUGCUAUAACCCUAUCAAUGUUCCUUUUAUCAAAACUCUAGAAUUUCAAUACAUUCUACAAAAAAAAUUCAAUAGAUGAUAAGAAUAAUCAAUAAAAUUAAAAUAAAAAUUGUACAAUAAGAUAGAAAAAAUAAACAUAGGGUUCGAGUUGCAAAGAAGGUGAGCUGAUAGGUCUCGUUUGGCAUCUUCGUCUUGGUCAAAGAUUAUAGAGAAGAAAAUACAAAUGUACCUCAGAUGGCUAUUUGAAAGCAAGCGGUGGUGUGUAGAAAGAACCAUCGACUUGGGGGUCUUUGGUGGUGGCAGCAAACAAUGGUCACGUUAGUAAGAUUAGAGUUUUUGGUUAGAGAGUUGAGAGGAUACGCUAUUUAAAGAGAUAGAGGGAGAACCUUGUAGAAGAUACACCGAGCCAUAGAUCGUUUGAUUAUAAGGCCAUAUUCUUCAAUUGCAUUAUAGCCUUAAUUUCUUCAAGAUUCUUCAUACUAUUUGUUAAAAUAGAAAGCACCAAAGAUUUGAAGGCGAUUGGAAGAAGAUGCAAAAUAAAAUUGAAGCCCUUUCAGAAGCAAAAUGGGUUUAUUUGUAGAUGCACAUUGAUGAUUGAUUUGGAAAGGAUAAAGGAUUUGAAUUUGAGGGUGACACAAUCAAAUGGAUGUGUAUGUGUGAU